UACGUAGGGCGCGAGCAUUAAUCGGAAUUACUGGGCGUAAAGCGUGCGUAGACGGUUAUUUAAGUCGGGUGUGAAAGCCCCGGGCUCAACCUGGGAAUUGCAUUCGAGACUGAAUAGCUAGGGUACGGUAGAGGGAAGCGGAAUUUCCGGUGUAGCGGUGAAAUGCGUAGAUAUCGGAAGGAACAUCAGUGGCGAAAGCGGCUUCCUGGACCAGUACCGACGUUCAGGCACGAAAGCGUGGGGAGCAAACAGG
Molecule: ribosomal RNA, 253 nt
Filed under: uncultured bacterium
Lineage: Bacteria
Description: partial 16S ribosomal RNA
Rfam family: Bacterial small subunit ribosomal RNA
Source: RNAcentral